Molecule: long non-coding RNA, 1991 nt
Organism: Chrysemys picta bellii (western painted turtle)
Lineage: Eukaryota; Metazoa; Chordata; Testudines; Emydidae
Source: Ensembl
AACCAGUAAAGUUCUUGAAACCACUAUGGCUUAUUGCCUAGUCAGCAAUCUCAGCUUGACCAAGGGAGGAGGGGAGGAGGUUUUGGGUGCCACAGAAAGGGCAGCUUGACCCCGCGUCCUUCCUGGUAAGAAUUGUGUUGAAUUUGCUGAUACAUGCAUUUUAGGAGAGCAGGAUAUGCCCCAGGAAUGUCUAUUGGGGCCUCAAGGCUGAAAAACCCAUUGAUUGGUUAAUCAAUAAUCAGAAGGAAUCUCUUGCUUGACCAUUGAAACUGCUUACUUGACAAGUUUUCUUUAAGGGAUAUGCCACUCUAUUACUAAUGUAUAAAUAAGGGGGAAAAGUUUGAGGUAGUUGGACUCUUUUGGGACUUGUUUGGACUUUCCCUCUGGAUACAUCUUGCGGUCCCCACCGGCAGAUGGAAGAUUUGGCUACCGGAAGCCUGCCGCUGUGUCACUCAAGAGCCAUACUCAGCUUUGGUAAUUAUCAAGGGUUGGGGGUUUUUAACCGAAUCCGCCCUACACAUCAACCUCCUAGAGCUAUGAGCAGUCCACAAUGCCUGCCAAUGCUUUCUCCCACUGAUCGCACAUUGUACUAUCAGAAUCAUGAUGGACAAUAUUGCCUGCAUAUUCUACAUCAACAGACAAGGCAGAGUGAGUUCCCAUUCUCUAUGUUUGGAGGCAAUGAAAUUAUAGAACUGGUGUAUCCAACACAGCAUCACCAUCUCAGCCGCAUACCUUCCUGGAUCCAGAAUACUACCAUGGACUCAUUAAGCAGGAGAUUCUUCCACGAUCAUGAGUGGGAACUAGAUACAUUAGCCCUUCAGCACAUCUUCAACCACUGGGGAUUCUCCACCAUACAUCUCUUUCCCACACCGGAGAAUGGCCACUGCCCUCAAUUUUGCUCAAGAGCGGGCUUAGGACACAGAUCAGAUGCAUUCCUCAUCAAAUGGGAUGCGCUGCUACUCUAUGCCUUUCCUCCCUUCCCCCUUCUGUUCUGAGUACUCCACAAGAUCCCACGGGACUGAGCCCAUGUCAUCCUUAUAGCUCCGCCAUGGCCACAACAGAUCUGCUAUACUUACGUCAUUCACAUGACGGUAUGCCUGCCAAUCUCUCUCCGUCCGACUCUGCAACUUCUUUCACAGGAUGCAUCCUCUAUCCCAAUCCACAGCUGCUCCACCUGAAAUCAUGGCUCCUCCAUGGUUCCAGGACUCAGAAAUAACCUGUUUAGAAGCAGUUAAAUAAGUACUCUUGAACAGCAGGUCUGAUACGACUAGAUGCACUUACCUCCACAAUUGGACUGGAUUCCAAUCCUGGUGCACCUCCAAUCAGGUCAAGGCAACAAGCACUCCAUUACUACUUAUCCUGGACUAUAUUUGACACCUUAACAAUUGGGGUUAUCCAGAAGCUCCAUUUGUGUGCAUUUGGGAACCAUCAUGACUUUCCACUAGGAGAUAGAUAGCCACUCCGUCCUCACCCACCCACUCAUGAAACUAUUCCUGAAGGACCUCCAAAAUCUUUAUCCUAUGGGAUCCAACUCCAGCUUGGGACUCUGACCUUAUCAUAUGCUUUCUUUCUAGACCUCCAUUCAACUCAAUGGCAACAUGCUCCUAAUGUCCAUUUAUCUAUGAAAACAGCUUUUCUUGUCUCUAGCACCUCUGCCCGGUGGGUUGGUGAAAUUGGAGCAUGGUAUGGCAUACCCCUGUGGACAAUUUUUUCAUAAAGACAAGGUUACACUAUGUCCAUAUCCCAAAUUUUUACACAAGGUGCCAUCCUUUUUCCAGCUAAAUCAACCUAUUCACUUUCCGUGCUUCUUUCCAAACUAACACAGCAACCAACAGGAGGCAAUGUUGCACACCCUGGACAUCAGACAAGCAUUAGCUUUCUUACUGGACAGAACUAAACCUUUCAGAAAAUUGCCGCACUUAUUCCUCUCAACAGCUGAAAGACUGAAAGGCACUGCCAUUUCUAAGCAAUGCCUUUCCAAGUGGAUCUAA